Daphnia pulex (common water flea) is the source of this 778-nucleotide long non-coding RNA. RefSeq lists it as uncharacterized. NCBI's taxonomy places the organism in Eukaryota, Metazoa, Arthropoda, Branchiopoda, Diplostraca, Daphniidae. The record is from RefSeq and is a predicted model, not a curated record. The transcript has 4 exons.
ACCGUGAUACUUUUACUUUUUUAGUAUAGAUAUCAAUCAAACAUAUCGGAACAUUCCAUAAAGAUCUGUGAAUCAUAAGGUGUGCGACUUAGUCGCCACCUCGCGUCGCACUUUUUUAAAGCUUAAGGCUUAAGUUACAGCAAAAUUUAUUAUUAGCAAUAUGGAAUUAGAAGAUAUUUGACUUUAACAUAUAUCGCUGUCGAUUUGGAUGCGGUAAUCCGCCUACUCCGGCUGCUCACUCCGCUGUCGGCCUCCAUGGCGUUCGUCACCGUCGCCAUCGGACUCGUCACCGGCCAUUGCUCUACAGCGAAGAGAAAAUGUCCAACCCGAAAUUCAACCGAACCGGAGAUCCCGAACUCGAGUACCUCUCCAAAUUCACAUAGUCAGCGGACUCUGGACUCCUUGCUACACCAAUCCUGGAGAGACGGAACGCUACUGUUUCAACAUCGAUUAUUUCCCAACGGAAGAGUACAGUCCCGAUCCCAAUGACUCGACACUCUCAAUCCCUUAUGCGGUCUUGAGGUCGGCUCCGUUCUUUUUCAUGGCCACCGCUCUGUUGGUCGUCGGAGAGAUUUCCUGUUUCCUCGGCCACUUUGCACCCAGGAGACGCUAUUGCACUUUUCUAUCCGGCGUCACUUUUAUCCUUUCCGGAUGGUUACUUUUACUCGGUCUGGUUGUUUACGUCUCGGUUUUCACGGCUGAAAUCGGAAGUAAAAGUAAAUUAAGGCCCAGCUCAUCAUUAUAACCGCCAAUAUUCACCUACGCCUAGGCUACAGUU